UUCAGGCCUAACACAUGCAAGUCGAACGAAGGCUUCGGCCUUAGUGGCGCACGGGUGCGUAACGCGUGGGAAUCUGCCCCUUGGUUCGGAAUAACAGUUAGAAAUGACUGCUAAUACCGGAUGAUGACGUAAGUCCAAAGAUUUAUCGCCGAGGGAUGAGCCCGCGUAGGAUUAGCUAGUUGGUGUGGUAAGAGCGCACCAAGGCGACGAUCCUUAGCUGGUCUGAGAGGAUGAUCAGCCACACUGGGACUGAGACACGGCCCAGACUCCUACGGGAGGCAGCAGUGGGGAAUAUUGGACAAUGGGCGAAAGCCUGAUCCAGCAAUGCCGCGUGAGUGAUGAAGGCCUUAGGGUUGUAAAGCUCUUUUACCCGGGAUGAUAAUGACAGUACCGGGAGAAUAAGCUCCGGCUAACUCCGUGCCAGCAGCCGCGGUAAUACGGAGGGAGCUAGCGUUAUUCGGAAUUACUGGGCGUAAAGCGCACGUAGGCGGCUUUGUAAGUAAGAGGUGAAAGCCCAGAGCUCAACUCUGGAAUUGCCUUUUAGACUGCAUCGCUUGAAUCAUGGAGAGGUCAGUGGAAUUCCGAGUGUAUAGGUGAAAUUCGUAGAUAUUCGGAAGAACACCAGUGGCGAAGGCGGCUGACUGGACAUGUAUUGACCCCUUCAGUGACGAAUU
This 674-nucleotide ribosomal RNA is filed under the name Bdellovibrio sp. RNAcentral describes it as "bacterial SSU rRNA". It matches the Rfam family "Bacterial small subunit ribosomal RNA", at positions 41 to 759 of the family's 1533-position model. Lineage: Bacteria; Pseudomonadati; Bdellovibrionota; Bdellovibrionia; Bdellovibrionales; Pseudobdellovibrionaceae. The record is from RNAcentral.